RNAcentral lists this ribosomal RNA (253 nucleotides) under uncultured bacterium. RNAcentral's name for it is "partial 16S ribosomal RNA". It matches the Rfam family "Bacterial small subunit ribosomal RNA", at positions 524 to 776 of the family's 1533-position model. The record is from RNAcentral.
UACGUAGGGGGCAAGCGUUGUCCGGAUUUAUUGGGCGUAAAGAGCGUGUAGGCGGCCAGGUAGGUCCGUUGUGAAAACUCGAGGCUCAACCUCGAGACGCCGAUGGAAACCAUCUGGCUAGAGUCCGGAAGAGGAGAGUGGAAUUCCCGGUGUAGCGGUGAAAUGCGCAGAUAUCAGGAGGAACACCGGUGGCGAAGGCGGUUCUCUGGGCAUGUCCUGACGCUGAGGAGCGAAAGUGUGGGGAGCGAACAGG